UUUAGUAAGUCUUUGUGAGGUUUGAAUGGCAUAACUUACGUAAACAGCUGGCGCCCAGUAGUUGUCCCUUGAAUUAAUUGCUCUGCCCCCUGGCUUUGAGGUGCCUUUCUCUGCACUAGCUGCAGUGGGAGUGGCAACAGCUCACUGGAACAGUCCGCAGGAGAGAAGGUGCCUUUAAAAUCAGAUGCAAAAACCAGCCAGACAAAUAAUAGUGGAUUUAUGGCUCAUUAUUUUUGAAUUUGCCCUUUGUGUACCUUUACACCAGUAGUGAAGAUAAUGGAGUCAGAGAACAUUCCUGGACAAGCCUCGGAGGACCAGGCAGAACCCUCUGGCUAGCAGAAAAGCUCGCACCCCCGCACCCUUGCGGCGUCUGCUUCAGACCCUCCACGCAGGCGCCCGCUGGAGCGCCUGCUGGGGAUGGCGUACCACCGACCCUUCAGGCUUUUUAAAAACGUAAACUUUUUUGAAGCUCAGUGUAUGUACUUUAAAAUUCGCAAAUUAUAUACAUGCAGCUUCAUGAAUUUUCAAAGUGAAUGUAUCCAUGAAACCAGUGCCCAAAUCAAGAAAUGGAAUGCCUUUUUGAAGUUUGAGGUAAUGUAAGAACAGUUAAGUUUAUAGCUUGAGACUGUUUCACAAAGUGAGCAUAUGCAUAAUCUAUAAAAAUAAAUUAUAUUCUGUAUACUAUUGUGUCUUUCAGUCAAUAUUUUAUUUAUGCAAUUUGUGCAUAUUCUCAUUGUUGAAUAAUAUUUCACUGUGUAAAUAUACCACUAUUUAUUUGUUCUUUCCUUUUCUUGUUGGUGGACAUUUGGAUAGUUUCCAAUUUUUAGUUACUACAAAUAGCAGUGUCAUAGAGGUUAUUGUACAUAUCUUUUUGUGAGUACAUUUAUCCUUUCCUGUUUGGGAUACACCUGGAAUUGGAAUAGAUUAUGCAUAUGUUCAGUUUUAGUGGUUACUAUAAAAUUGUUUUCCAAAAUGGUUGUAAUAAUUUACACUGUCACAAAUGAUAUAUUGGAGUUCCAAUUUCUUCACAUCCUCGCCAAUACUUGCCAUUUUCUAUCUUUUUAAUUUAAGCUGUUUUAAAGAUGUGUAUGGGUAUCACAUUUCAGUUUUAAUUUACAUUUCCCUGAUGAUAAGUAAAAUUGAGCACCAUUUCUUGUUAGCCGAUUAGUUACUGACUCUUUAAUAAAGUACUG
RNAcentral lists this long non-coding RNA (1193 nucleotides) under Homo sapiens (human). RNAcentral's name for it is "HSALNT0119424". The record is from RNAcentral. Lineage: Eukaryota; Metazoa; Chordata; Mammalia; Primates; Hominidae.